GCCCAGAGGCAGGGGAGCUGAUGGUGGUCUCAGUUCUGGAGUUCUGGAUCCAGGACCACUCCUGUCUAUGAGAUGGCUCUUGUGCCUCCUCGAAGACCAACAUGGUAGCUUGGACGUUGAGUCAAAUCAGACCCUUCACAGUUCUUGAAAGUUGUUGGGAAAGAGAAGAUGAAAUGCAGACAGAGACGUGACUCUGGAAGAGAAAAGAUGUUCUUGGCGCAGUAAUGAUCUGCCAAUAGCCCUCUUUUCUUAGAGCCCAUGCCUUCCCAACUUCUUCAUCUGAUCUGCU
Homo sapiens (human) is the source of this 289-nucleotide long non-coding RNA. RefSeq lists it as uncharacterized. The record is from RefSeq and is a predicted model, not a curated record. NCBI's taxonomy places the organism in Eukaryota, Metazoa, Chordata, Mammalia, Primates, Hominidae. The transcript has 3 exons.